GUCGAGCGAAUGGAUUAAGAGCUUGCUCUUAUGAAGUUAGCGGCGGACGGGUGAGUAACACGUGGGUAACCUGCCCAUAAGACUGGGAUAACUCCGGGAAACCGGGGCUAAUACCGGAUAACAUUUUGAACUGCAUGGUUCGAAAUUGAAAGGCGGCUUCGGCUGUCACUUAUGGAUGGACCCGCGUCGCAUUAGCUAGUUGGUGAGGUAACGGCUCACCAAGGCAACGAUGCGUAGCCGACCUGAGAGGGUGAUCGGCCACACUGGGACUGAGACACGGCCCAGACUCCUACGGGAGGCAGCAGUAGGGAAUCUUCCGCAAUGGACGAAAGUCUGACGGAGCAACGCCGCGUGAGUGAUGAAGGCUUUCGGGUCGUAAAACUCUGUUGUUAGGGAAGAACAAGUGCUAGUUGAAUAAGCUGGCACCUUGACGGUACCUAACCAGAAAGCCACGGCUAACUACGUGCCAGCAGCCGCGGUAAUACGUAGGUGGCAAGCGUUAUCCGGAAUUAUUGGGCGUAAAGCGCGCGCAGGUGGUUUCUUAAGUCUGAUGUGAAAGCCCACGGCUCAACCGUGGAGGGUCAUUGGAAACUGGGAGACUUGAGUGCAGAAGAGGAAAGUGGAAUUCCAUGUGUAGCGGUGAAAUGCGUAGAGAUAUGGAGGA
RNAcentral lists this ribosomal RNA (664 nucleotides) under uncultured bacterium. Its description in RNAcentral is "bacterial SSU rRNA". It matches the Rfam family "Bacterial small subunit ribosomal RNA", at positions 61 to 705 of the family's 1533-position model. The record is from RNAcentral.